GCGCUCGUGGUGGAAACGGGAGACACGCCGGCCUCAGGCGCCGGUGCCGCGAGGCGUCCGGGUUCGACUCCCGGCGAGCGCA
RNAcentral lists this transfer RNA (82 nucleotides) under Actinoplanes awajinensis subsp. mycoplanecinus. It matches the Rfam family "tRNA". From Rfam's summary of the family: Transfer RNA (tRNA) molecules are approximately 80 nucleotides in length. Their secondary structure includes four short double-helical elements and three loops (D, anti-codon, and T loops). Lineage: Bacteria; Bacillati; Actinomycetota; Actinomycetes; Micromonosporales; Micromonosporaceae. The record is from Rfam by way of RNAcentral.